UACGAACCGUACGAACGUUAUUCGGAAUCACUGGGCUUAAAGAGUUCGUAGGCGGCUAUGAAGGUGAGGUGUGAAAUCCCCCGGCUCAACCGGGGAAUUGCGCUUCAAACCACAUGGCUUGAGGAAGACAGAGGUAAGCGGAACUGAUGGUGGAGCGGUGAAAUGCGUUGAUAUCAUCAGGAACACCGGUGGCGAAGGCGGCUUACUGGGUCUUUUCUGACGCUGAGGAACGAAAGCUAGGGGAGCGAACGGG
This 253-nucleotide ribosomal RNA is filed under the name uncultured bacterium. Its description in RNAcentral is "partial 16S ribosomal RNA". It matches the Rfam family "Bacterial small subunit ribosomal RNA", at positions 524 to 776 of the family's 1533-position model. The record is from RNAcentral.